AUGGCCGCGGCCUGUACGCAAGAAAGCAAUGCCAUCUACAUGCUGUGGAACAACGUGGUCUACGAAUACAAGCUCGCACCGGCAGAUGAAGAGCGAAGGCUCAAGCUGCAUCUGCCUGCGAGGAUUGACUCCGUUUGUCCUUUCAUUGUAAUGCAAGGAGAUGGCUUCCUCGCCCAUCUGGGCUCGGGGCUCAUGUGCUCUGUCUGGAUCAGCCUCGAUCUCUCAUGCGGGUGUGACCACCUACAUGCCUUUGUCACCACCUUCCACAUUGCUCCCCUGCCCUGGGAUGUCAAGGUCCUGCACUCCACCUUCCGCCAGCUCGACAUGUUGCCCAUGAAACACAUCCAUGAAUUUCAAUUAUGCUUUGUGCAAGAGUAUAUGGAUGACAAGGUGCUGCUGCCUCAACUCCAUGAAGAGCAAGUGCUUGAUGAUCCUUGCAGGCAUUUUCUCCCACCAAGUCCUCCUAGGUACGUGAAGCCACCACGUAUCCAUAUUGACAAGGAUCACUUGUUUAUUAUCUGCCAAGGUGGUUCACAAUCAUUUAUCUAUAAAACCAGUCUGGAUGAGAUUCCAGGGUUAGAAUUCGAAAGCGCACCUCCUCUCAAACCACAUUACAUUGUACAUGGAGAUGAUCAUGGGCACAGGCAUUUUUUCGGAGUAGCUCAAAACUAUGUGCUGUCUCAUUCCUAA
RNAcentral lists this ribosomal RNA (690 nucleotides) under Triticum aestivum (bread wheat). RNAcentral's name for it is "partial small subunit ribosomal RNA". The record is from RNAcentral. Lineage: Eukaryota; Viridiplantae; Streptophyta; Magnoliopsida; Poales; Poaceae.